Molecule: non-coding RNA, 309 nt
Organism: Yokenella regensburgei ATCC 43003
Lineage: Bacteria; Pseudomonadati; Pseudomonadota; Gammaproteobacteria; Enterobacterales; Enterobacteriaceae
Source: Rfam
UAUGGCGGGUGCCGGAGUGAGAGCCGGAAAUUUACCGCUGUUCCUGGAGGCUGGGGUGAAGGAAGUGCACAGCUCUGCGGGUCAGUGGGUGCCUUCGGUCAUGCAGUAUCGUAACCCAGGGCUGUCAAUGUCGACCGACGCUGACGCUGAUGAAUACUCCCGAUACGCCGUGAACGGCGAGUCGGUGGCGGAGAUGAAGGCGAUCGUUGCCGGUUAUCCCCGCUGAUACCAGUUUUACCGCGCAUCAUGUCGCCCAAUAUGAUGCUUGUUUGUACCAGGCCCCUGCAAUUUCAACAGGGGCCUUUUUUU